This 69-nucleotide transfer RNA is filed under the name Ictidomys tridecemlineatus (thirteen-lined ground squirrel). Its description in RNAcentral is "Spermophilus tridecemlineatus (thirteen-lined ground squirrel) tRNA". It matches the Rfam family "tRNA". From Rfam's summary of the family: Transfer RNA (tRNA) molecules are approximately 80 nucleotides in length. Their secondary structure includes four short double-helical elements and three loops (D, anti-codon, and T loops). The record is from Rfam by way of RNAcentral. Lineage: Eukaryota; Metazoa; Chordata; Mammalia; Rodentia; Sciuridae.
GGGGUUGUGGCUCAUUGGUAGAGCACUCACUUCACACUUGUGAGACCCUGGGUUUGAUCCUCAGCACCA